RNAcentral lists this long non-coding RNA (2799 nucleotides) under Durio zibethinus. RNAcentral's name for it is "long non-coding RNA (DZIB_LNC000580)". The record is from RNAcentral. Lineage: Eukaryota; Viridiplantae; Streptophyta; Magnoliopsida; Malvales; Malvaceae.
GCAAAAACAAUAAAAUAAAAUUCUUUAAUUCAUUGAUAAAAAGUAAUUUUUUACAAAAUUAUUACAAACUUUAUACAUGUCUUAUUCUACUCUUAAAAUAUAAUAAAAGAAUAAUCAUUAUAAAUGCUAAAGCAAGCAACAACUAGAAUAGAGCAGCAUCGCUCAUUUGCUUAUCAUUGAAAGCUAUUUGGCAUCAUAAAGACUGUAAAUGUAGUAAACAUAUGGCCCUCGCAACCAAUCCCGAGCUAUUAUUUUCAUGAUCUACAUAAAAUCAGCUUUAGUAUAAGAAGACAAACCAUAGAGACUAAAAAACUAUGAAUAAAAAUUGAAAGAAAUUUCCCGAAGAAAACCAUAUCACAAAAUGCUUUAAUAUGUUUUGCAAAGAAUAAUCUCAUUAUUUAGAUAAAUAAUAUUAGUUCUUCAAAAUAGUAAAGACCAAAGAAUAUAUGAAGCAAAGAAAUAUAAUUUAUUAUUUUUAUCAAACAACAAACGAGACUGUGAUUGAAGAUUGAGGUGUCAUGGUUCAUUUAGUGCUAGUCAAGAUAACAUUAAAAAAAAUGUGAUUCCCUAAGAUAAAAUAAUGAAGACAGGCUGGAAAGCUAACUAACUUGACAUAUAAGGAUAAAGCAGCUAAGCAUCAUGACAAAGAUUAAUCAUGAAAGCUUGUUAUUCUACCUUGUGAUGGCCGAUACAUAUACAGAGAGGGUGCAUACAUAGAAACUUAAGCAAGUGUUCAAGCAUUAGUUACAAACUAAAUGUCUAAAAAGUGAUUCAGCAAUCUAAAAAGAGUGACAACUUCUAUUUUUUCUAGCUUCAUAUGACUAAUUUUUGUUUUAGGUUAUUGAGGUAAAAGUCUUUUACAAGUUCAUUUUCUUAUUAAGACUUUCAAGAUAGAUGGCCCACAAUCAUCAGAAAUAGAACAAAUUUCAAAUGAAAAAGAAACAAAGCCAACCCAAAAGAAAGGUACUAUAAUUAUAUAUAAUAAUACACACACAUUCACUUGAAAAUAAGAAAAAUGAACAAAUAUUUGAAUCAAAUUUAAAAAUACAUAAUAAAUUAGAUCUAAUUUGCUUUUGGAUCUAUUAUCUAUAGGAAAAGAGCAACGAAGUAUCCUAUGGAGGUACUUUGUAGAAGCAGGGAAAGAAAUAGCAAAAAAAUGAACCAAACUAAUUUCUCUAAGUCAAUCAUUGCAUGGAAGGAUAAUGAGGCUACCAAUAGAUACGAAGGCAUGGAUUACCAAAGUAAAAACCACUCAUACAAUGAUUUAUGUUUAAUAAAAGCAAAGCCAUUUAUUUACUACUAACAUAACAAGAUAUAAUACUAUUAAAACAAAUACAUUUGUGUAGCUUAUGCAAACUAAGAAUUUGAAAAGGAAAGACUUGUAGACAUUAUACAGUAAAAAUAAUACAAGUCCCACAAAGCAAAUUUUGAAUAUAAAUUUAACAAAAGGUAUACUUGCAUCUUAGUCUCCUCCCAAAAUAGUCCUACUCUUUUUUCCUAAAACUUGUUCAUCUACCUCAACCAAACCAGAAUAUACAAACUGUUAUAAUCAAAGGUGAAAAUUAACUAAAUAUUAUAAAACUAUCAUAAAAUAGUUGUUUUUCACUGUCUACCGUCUUUGUAUCACAAAGUUUAGUAAAGUGGAGAUUGAGUUGUAAGAUUAAUUUUUAAAAAAAUAGAGAAAUUUCCCAACUUUUAGAGGUUAGCUACAUAACAGUGUAUCUGUUCCACUCAAUUUAAGGGCUUUAGCAAUUGAUGAAAGAAUUAAAGAAGCUAAAUCAUAUUCUAAAAGGAUUUCAACUAUGUAAUAUGGUCUACAUCUAAUAGUACUUGAAUCACAAAUAACAUUAAUAUAUCAAUAUAGUACACCUUUUUUCUUCAACACCUACCAAAAGCAUUCUCUAGAAAACUAUUGCAUGCUAAUGUUAAUUUUAUGUUUGGUACAAGGAAGGGAAUAUGACAGGAAUGCAUAUGAAAAUAAGAGCAAGAAUGAGAACAAAAGUUAGUAUUUCCUAGUUAGUUGGUGAAAAGUUAUAAAGCUUGAAUUUACAUUUCUACUCUAUAUUUAUACUUGCUAUAACCAUUUUUCCCUUAUUAGACAUUCAAAUAAAAUUCUCAGUUUGCUUGUUUACCAUGCUUUUCCUUCUUUCACCACCUGGCACAUUACAAUCCCUCUAAUUUCACAAACUUUCAUGUAAUUUCAAAAUUAAUAACUCAAAUGCACCAUUAAUUAUAUGUUAAACAGUGUAGUCACUUCCUCAAAAAUGGUAUCAUCCCUAGUGUUUGAAUAUUUUCAUAAAUUAUUUAUAUUUUGAUAUUAUAAAAUACAACUGCAGAAUGAAAAACCCAAAUUCGAGAAAACCCAAAUCCUUAGUGUUUGAUCACCAACGCUCAUCAAAUCAACUACCAAAACCAGAUACUAACAUUCGCCAGACAUAAAAAAAAAAAAAAAAAAAUCCCAAAUGCAAGAACUAAAAACCCUAAACUACCCAAAACAUGGACAACAAAACCUUGUUAAGAAAUCCAAUCAAAACCCAAAAAAAUUUAAGAAGUCUCGCAUACCUCAAAUAGAACUGGAAGUGAGGGUCUCGUUGACUGCCAUAGAUGAAAGAUCAAAAAUGUCACAGGCAGCUGAAAAAAGGGGCAAAAGGAGAUGAUUUGGGGAUAGAAAAAAGAGAAAGGAGCUCGGAUUUGGUCAUGAAGGUCACUUGGAAUCUGUUACAAGCUGUUAGAGUAUUGGGCUAAUUGGGUUUUUAUUCAAGUCUAGUCCAAUAAACAUAAGUUUAUUUUAAAUGUUUG